This 709-nucleotide long non-coding RNA is filed under the name Gallus gallus (chicken). The record is from RNAcentral. Lineage: Eukaryota; Metazoa; Chordata; Aves; Galliformes; Phasianidae.
GGGUGAGGAGAGAACAGAGGUAACAAGGUCAGCAAUCUCUUCAAGUUUGUUGAGUUCACAAGAAGGAAGGUCGAUCAAAGGACUAGUUUCGGGCAUUUCUUCUAUGUGCUCCUCUUCAGACUCUAUAAGGUCCUGUGUGACUUCCACUGAAGGAUCCUUACCCUGAACCUGGCAGAUUUUUUCCCAGAUUUCAUCACAGCCAGCUUUUUCUUGAAAACUCAGUGCUAAGUCAUAGUUCUCUGCUUCUGACCAAACAAUCAAGGUGUCCUGCUGCUUUUGAUAUGCAGUGUUUGGAUUUAUCUUCGAUUCUAGCAGUAGCGAACCGUCCGACUCGGCGCGCACCAGCAGCGACAUCCCCUUGAGGCGUUCCACGUAGGUGGAGGAGACGUGCCCGGUCCCCCUGUCGUCCCAUUGCCGAUCCUCGUUGAGGGUAUAGACCUUCACCCGCCGGCGGGUGUCCGACAUGGUGCAGCCCCGGCCUCGGGCCUGCGCGCCGGCCCCGGGCCCGCUCCGCCUCCGGGGGGCGAUGGAGCGAGAGCGGGGUUGGAAGCGGGGCCGCGGCCGCUCAGGGGCAGCGCGGGGCCUUUAACGCGCCGCUUUUCAUGGCUCCCCGCCGGCGAGAGGGCGACGCCGCGCCCGGCUCGGGCCUCCCUGUCGCCGCUCCGCCGCCUCAGCAGCUACCGCAGCGCCGCCGCCAUCUUGUAACCCG